UACGGAGGGGGUUAGUGUUAUUCAACUUUAUUGGGCGUAAAGCGCGUGUAGAUUGUUUUUUUUGUUAAUAUAAAAAUUUUAGAGCUUAACUUUAUUGCUUAUAUUAAUACGAUUAGACUUGAGUUUAACAGAAGGUAAUAGUAUUUCUCAUGUAAGGUUAAAAUCUAUCGAUAUGAGAAAGACUUUCAGUCGGCGAAGGCAAUUACCUAGGUUAAGACUGACUUUGAGACGCGAAAGCAUGAGGAGCAAACGGG
RNAcentral lists this ribosomal RNA (254 nucleotides) under uncultured bacterium. Its description in RNAcentral is "partial 16S ribosomal RNA". It matches the Rfam family "Bacterial small subunit ribosomal RNA", at positions 524 to 776 of the family's 1533-position model. The record is from RNAcentral.